Long non-coding RNA from Fundulus heteroclitus (mummichog), 349 nucleotides. RefSeq lists it as uncharacterized. The record is from RefSeq and is a predicted model, not a curated record. Lineage: Eukaryota; Metazoa; Chordata; Actinopteri; Cyprinodontiformes; Fundulidae. The transcript is spliced from 4 exons.
ACUGAUAGCAGCUUUCCAUUAACUGCUGCUCCUAUCAACACAAAGAAGAAGCAGGACCAUCAGGCACAGAAAGGACCGUACAUCCAACAACUUCAGUUGAGGCCUCCUGUUUUUCUUCAAGUGACAAUAGUGCAGCAGAAGAUGUAAGGUAUCAACAACCUGCCCAUCAGCUACGGAAUGCUCCAAGCCCCAUAAAGCGCACGGUUGCCUCUGCCCCAAGAAAAAAAGAACAGUUCAACCAGGUCAAUCCCCAGGCAGGUGAAUCAACCUACCCCUUGGCCUACUGAUGACAGCGAUGACACGUGGCACUCUCCAGAAGCGGGAGUGUUGGUGAGGCUGAAAGAGAGCA